UCAGGAUGAACGCUAGCGGGAGGCUUAAUACAUGCAAGUCGAGCGGUAUCUAUGACUUCGGUUGUAGAGAGAGCGGCGCACGGGUGAGUAACGCGUACGCACCUGCCCUCAACAGGGGGAUAGCCCCGGGAAACUGGGAUUAAUACCCCAUGGUAUCGCAUGGUUAAAGUUCCGACGGUUGAGGAUGGGCGUGCGUCUGAUUAGCUAGUUGGUAGGGUAACGGCCUACCAAGGCGAUGAUCAGUAGGGGGCGUGAGAGCGUGGACCCCCACACGGGUACUGAGACACGGACCCGACUCCUACGGGAGGCAGCAGUAAGGAAUAUUGGACAAUGGGCGAAAGCCUGAUCCAGCCAUCCCGCGUGCAGGAUGACGGCCUACGGGUUGUAAACUGCUUUUAUGAGGGAAGAACCCCCCAAUGUAUUGGGGGCUGACGGUACCUCAGGAAUAAGCACCGGCUAACUCCGUGCCAGCAGCCGCGGUAAUACGGAGGGUGCAAGCGUUAUCCGGAAUUACUGGGUUUAAAGGGUGCGUAGGCGGAACAAUAAGUCAGGAGUGAAAGCUUCCCGCUUAACGGGAGAAUUGCUUUUGAUACUGUUGUUCUUGAAUCAGAUGAGGUUGGCGGAAUGUGGCAUGUAGCGGUGAAAUGCAUAGAUAUG
This 657-nucleotide ribosomal RNA is filed under the name uncultured bacterium. RNAcentral describes it as "bacterial SSU rRNA". It matches the Rfam family "Bacterial small subunit ribosomal RNA", at positions 24 to 698 of the family's 1533-position model. The record is from RNAcentral.